This 465-nucleotide ribosomal RNA is filed under the name uncultured Klebsiella sp. Its description in RNAcentral is "bacterial SSU rRNA". It matches the Rfam family "Bacterial small subunit ribosomal RNA", at positions 338 to 795 of the family's 1533-position model. Lineage: Bacteria; Pseudomonadati; Pseudomonadota; Gammaproteobacteria; Enterobacterales; Enterobacteriaceae. The record is from RNAcentral.
CCUACGGGAGGCAGCAGUGGGGAAUAUUGCACAAUGGGCGCAAGCCUGAUGCAGCCAUGCCGCGUGUGUGAAGAAGGCCUUCGGGUUGUAAAGCACUUUCAGCGGGGAGGAAGGCGUUAAGGUUAAUAACCUUGUCGAUUGACGUUACCCGCAGAAGAAGCACCGGCUAACUCCGUGCCAGCAGCCGCGGUAAUACGGAGGGUGCAAGCGUUAAUCGGAAUUACUGGGCGUAAAGCGCACGCAGGCGGUCGGUCAAGUCGGAUGUGAAAUCCCCGGGCUCAACCUGGGAACUGCAUUCGAAACUGGCAGGCUAGAGUCUUGUAGAGGGGGGUAGAAUUCCAGGUGUAGCGGUGAAAUGCGUAGAGAUCUGGAGGAAUACCGGUGGCGAAGGCGGCCCCCUGGACAAAGACUGAGGCUCAGGUGCGAAAGCGUGGGGAGCAAACAGGAGUAGAUACCCUUGUAGUC